Molecule: ribosomal RNA, 737 nt
Filed under: uncultured bacterium
Lineage: Bacteria
Description: bacterial SSU rRNA
Rfam family: Bacterial small subunit ribosomal RNA
Source: RNAcentral
GAAGGUUAGAAUGAGAGCUUCGGCAGGAUUUCUUUCCAUCUUAGUGGCGGACGGGUGAGUAACGUGUGGGCAACCUGCCCUGUACUGGGGAAUAAUCAUUGGAAACGAUGACUAAUACCGCAUGUGGUCCUCGGAAGGCAUCUUCUGAGGAAGGAAGGAUUUAUUCGGUACAGGAUGGGCCCGCAUCUGAUUAGCUAGUUGGUGAGAUAACAGCCCACCAAGGCGACGAUCAGUAGCCGACCUGAGAGGGUGAUCGGCCACAUUGGGACUGAGACACGGCCCAAACUCCUACGGGAGGCAGCAGUGGGGAAUAUUGCACAAUGGGCGAAAGCCUGAUGCAGCAACGCCGCGUGAAGGAUGAAGGGUUUCGGCUCGUAAACUUCUAUCAAUAGGGAAGAAACAAAUGACGGUACCUAAAUAAGAAGCCCCGGCUAACUACGUGCCAGCAGCCGCGGUAAUACGUAGGGGGCAAGCGUUAUCCGGAAUUACUGGGUGUAAAGGGAGCGUAGGCGGCAUGGUAAGCCAGAUGUGAAAGCCUUGGGCUUAACCCGAGGAUUGCAUUUGGAACUAUCAAGCUAGAGUACAGGAGAGGAAAGCGGAAUUCCUAGUGUAGCGGUGAAAUGCGUAGAUAUUAGGAAGAACACCAGUGGCGAAGGCGGCUUUCUGGACUGAAACUGACGCUGAGGCUCGAAAGCGUGGGGAGCAAACAGGAUUAGAUACCCUGGUAGUCCACGCCG